AUGAUGUAUGAACAUUGUAUGUUUGUUAAUUAUGUCAAAAUUAGGAUUAAAAGGACUAAAGUCCAACAAGUUUUAUCUGUUCUCUCUUGAAUCAAAAUGAUUUGCUUAUUUUCCAAACAGUCUUAUUGUGAGAGAAGAAAGUGCACAAACAGGAAGAACAGUAGCAAGAAUAUGAGGUGCGUCCUGUCAAUUAUUUUUGUACAAAAGAGCUCAGAUAUUUGCAGCUGAUUUACGGGAUGCGUUUAGCGACCAAGGAUAUGAUGAGUUUAAAGACAUCAGCUCUCUAACUAUAACGGCUGACUACAUCGUCCCAGCUGUGCUUCGGCAGCUUGGCAUUUUAAAACUCAGUCCAACACUUGCCAGUACAAUUGAGACCAGUGGAGAAAUAGGUCCAGGGACUGAGGAGGAAGUUGAACUACGGGAUUGCUCUAUACAUGCGGUGGAGAAAAUGAGGGAGCUGAUAAGUGUAAUAUCAGGAAGACAGGAACCUAUUAUCAGAACAUGGCAUGGAAUUAUGUGUCUGAUGCUGUGUAUGGAGACUAGGACAAGCCAGCUCUUAUCACUUAUCCUGAUUUGGGUUUAAAUUGUAGGUUAAAUGGGUUUUGGUUUUUUUUUAUAGAACCCUUGACUCUCUUUUCUUAUAAUUAGAGGGCUUUGCAUAUAUCUUGAUUUAUUUAUUUUUUCUUAAUUUUUA
Molecule: non-coding RNA, 694 nt
Organism: Cicer arietinum (chickpea)
Lineage: Eukaryota; Viridiplantae; Streptophyta; Magnoliopsida; Fabales; Fabaceae
Source: RefSeq, a predicted model, not a curated record